CACUUGAUGUUGCGAGAAACUACGAGAAAGCGUGAGAAUUUACGUGAUUCGGGGAAAAAACCCGCCGCUUCAAACAUCGAAGAAAUUGAUUGCCGUUCAGAAGUAACAUAUUUUGGGCUAUCUCUACCGUUACAUUGUCCGGAUUUCAAACAUGCUAAAGAAGAAAAAAGGGACCAGACUGUCAAAACCUUAACACAAAUCAACAGCAGAAGUGUGUUUCAUCGGAUUACGUGUCACGUCUAACAACACAGCGACGAAUUCUUCCUUGCACACACAUAUCCGAGAAUAUUUCUAGAUAUUUUCCUCAGAUUGGUGAGGACACCUAGCAAAGUGGUUUCUAUGGGAAUCGAUGACAUCAAAACUAAAACCAUGCACGAACCCCAAUAGAAGCGGAACUGGGUGUUCCG
Mizuhopecten yessoensis (Yesso scallop) is the source of this 407-nucleotide long non-coding RNA. RefSeq lists it as uncharacterized. Lineage: Eukaryota; Metazoa; Mollusca; Bivalvia; Pectinida; Pectinidae. The transcript has 3 exons. The record is from RefSeq and is a predicted model, not a curated record.